AGCAGCCGCGGUAAUUCCAGCUCCAAUAGCGUAUAUUAAAGUUGUUGCAGUUAAAAAGCUCGUAGUUGAAUUUCGGGAUCAGUACGCUGGUCGUGCCUUUGGUAUGUACUGGUGUCACUGAUUCCUCCCUUCUGAAGAACCGUUAUGCCAUUUAUUUGGUGUGGCGGGAAAUCAGGACUGUUACUUUGAAAAAUUAGAGUGUUUAAAGCAGGCUCGCGCUUGAAUACAUUAGCAUGGAAUAAUGAAAUAGGACGUUUGAUCUUAUUUUGUUGGUUUCUAGGAUCGACGUAAUGAUUAAUAGGGAUAGUUGGGGGCAUUAGUAUUCAAUUGUCAGAGGUGAAAUUCUUGGAUUUAUUGAAGACUAACUACUGCGAAAGCAUUUGCCAAGGAUGUUUUCAUUAAUCAAGAACGAAAGUUAGGGGAUCGAAGACGAUCAGAUACCGUCGUAGUCUUAACCAUAAACUAUGCCGACUAGGGAUCGGAUGAUGUUAAUUUUUUAAUGACUCAUUCGGCGUCCG
Molecule: ribosomal RNA, 518 nt
Filed under: uncultured Glomus
Lineage: Eukaryota; Fungi; Glomeromycota; Glomeromycetes; Glomerales; Glomeraceae
Description: SSU rRNA
Rfam family: Eukaryotic small subunit ribosomal RNA
Source: RNAcentral